Long non-coding RNA from Homo sapiens (human), 732 nucleotides. Lineage: Eukaryota; Metazoa; Chordata; Mammalia; Primates; Hominidae. The record is from Ensembl.
AGCCUGGGCCUGGGAGUGUGCCAGGCAGUGGAGAUACAGUGAUAAAUGCUUGCUGAAGAGCGCUAAGGGACAAUGUCCAGAAAAAGAGCAGGCCUAACGGCAUCUUUUUAGCAAGUUUCCUGGCAGUAAAGUGAAAAAGGAUGAAUGACAGCAACUUAGUUUACUUGCAGCUUCCUGUAAAUUUAGUCAUCUGAACAAGAGGGGACUGAACUGUUUCAAAACAGAAAGCAAUUGUUUCAUGGACACUGGCCAGUCUACAAGCAGAGCACUCUCAUGGGGAGCACCAGAUGAGUUCCAGCCGCAGUUCUUUUAUAAGCUUUAAGUGCCUCAUGAAGACGCGAGGAUCUCUUCCAAGUGCAACCUGGUCACAUCAGGGCACAUUCAGCAGCAGAAGUCUGUUUCCAGUAUAGUCCUUGCUAUUCAUCUUUAAUUCAAUCUUUUCAUGGAACUUCCAGAGAAGAAGCCAUGGAUAGCUUUCCUCUUUUCAUUGGAAGAGAAAAAGUGAUGUAUCUGAUUAUUUUAUGUAUGAGAGGCCAAGACAGACAUAGGUAUGGAUCGCAGUAACAGCUCUCUUACGGGGUAAAGCUCUCUUAUGAGGUGAAGCUGGACUGGAUAAGAAAAGAAAACGAUGAACAUUCCCCUCCCCUCACAAAAUGCACACACAUUAACCUUCAGCAGACUAGUUGCUUUCUUAGAAAUUUUGUAGAUAGAAAUUUAUGUCAUCCAUUAACU